GAGCCCGUGGCUCAAUGGUAGAGCAAUCGACUCAAAUACCAAAGGUCGCGGGUUCGAAUCCCUAGGUUUU
RNAcentral lists this transfer RNA (70 nucleotides) under Schistocephalus solidus. It matches the Rfam family "tRNA". From Rfam's summary of the family: Transfer RNA (tRNA) molecules are approximately 80 nucleotides in length. Their secondary structure includes four short double-helical elements and three loops (D, anti-codon, and T loops). Lineage: Eukaryota; Metazoa; Platyhelminthes; Cestoda; Diphyllobothriidea; Diphyllobothriidae. The record is from Rfam by way of RNAcentral.